GCUACUGUGGGGUAGCUCAGUCAGCAAAGCAUGAGACUCUUAAUCAUUUAAUCUUAGAGUCAUGGGUUUGAGCCCCACGUUGGGCA
Molecule: non-coding RNA, 86 nt
Organism: Podarcis lilfordi (Lilford's wall lizard)
Lineage: Eukaryota; Metazoa; Chordata; Lepidosauria; Squamata; Lacertidae
Source: the annotation of a GenBank genome assembly